Molecule: small nuclear RNA, 290 nt
Filed under: Mus spretus (western wild mouse)
Lineage: Eukaryota; Metazoa; Chordata; Mammalia; Rodentia; Muridae
Description: sRNA (ENSMSPG00010022604.1)
Rfam family: 7SK RNA
About the family: 7SK was discovered as an abundant small nuclear RNA in the mid-70s but a possible function has only recently been suggested. Two independent studies have found that 7SK RNA binds the CDK9/cyclin T complex (known as elongation factor P-TEFb).
Source: RNAcentral
AGAGGAGUGUGACUGUGACAUCUAUCGUCCCGGGCAUCUCCAGGGUUGAUUAGACUGAUCUAGCUGGCUCGUCAUGUGUUCCCUUCCUCUCAAUUUGCUCCACAUACAUCCCUCCCAGAGCUGCAUGCUCUGUCAAAGAUGACAGCCUUCCUUGAUACAGGAAGACCAUUGUUUGGCCAUAGGUAUGGGAGGAGCUACCCUCCCCUGCUAGAGACGGGCAGAAAGCAGUGUUGCUUCCUCUUCCUCCUCACUCAAACACCAGACUAUGGUGAAGGGUAUAAGGCUUUCUG